AAGGAAGAUAAUGAUCCCUCUGAAAAAAAAAAAUAGUGGUAGACUGGAAAGUUAGUCAGUAGAAGGUAUGAAGAUGGAAUCCAAGGACAAAAAUUAGUAUUUACUGGACAUGUGUUUUCACUAAUUUUUGUAUUACCUCCUAUUGGCAACCCUAGUUGUUUCACUCCUUAGUAAGUUAUGCUCUUUUGAACUACAUGUAUUCUUGGUUCCUGUAUUUUAACAGAGAACACUGUAACAAUGAAAAUCAGAUUUUAUUGUAAUCACAGAUAUCAUUUAUAUUGUCCAUAAAGGCAUACUCUGAUAUCUAUUAUGGUAUAGAGGUUGUGAAAGGCUAAAUCCCUGGGUCAUAUGCUCUGGAAGAUUCUACCAUCCUGAAGGUCUUUUGCCUUCUAUCUGGGGUGGUUUGGAGAGCUUCAUUAUGAAGCAGUCUGGUUAUUUGGUGAGUGAUGAUACCCAUCGCUACUCUUGAAAACAAAGAUAAUACAAAAUAGCCCCUCCUCUUCUAUAAUGACAGUAACAGUGGUAGUCAUCAAAGAAGAUGAUAGAUGGCACUAAGAAUAACAGUUUUUAGGUCACCUAUAAAUGACAAUUUAGCUAUUAAAAAUGAUACCCUUAUCUGGUGGCUUACAGAGGAACAUAUCCUGGAAACGUUGAAUUCUAGAGCUAGGGCUAGGAACUGGAGCUACUGCAGUUGUUAGUAUUUGCUCUAGAGUGUUCAUUUGGAGUCUCUCUUCAGUCAUAUCCCCUCCACCCCUGUAGUCAAGCAGUUGCUUUUCUUCGGUUUUUACUCUCACAGUUUAUCCUCUGCUUGUGGAUAGUGUUUUUUAGAUCCCUGCAGAUUGUUCAGGGACAUUGCAUUGUCCCUACUGGAGAAGUCCAUUACCUUCUAUUGUACCACAAUGUAUCAGUCUGUGUAUAAUGAUUUCCUGGUUCUGCUCCUUUCGCUCUGCAUCUCUUCCUGGAGGUUGUUCCAGACUCCAUGGAAUUCCUCCACUUUAUUAUUCCUUUUAGCACAAUAGUAUUCCAUCACCAACAUAUACCACAAUUUGUUCAGCCAUUCCCCAACUGAAGGUCAUUCCCUCAUUUUCCAAUUUUUGGCCACCACAAAGAGUGCAGCUAUGAAUAUUCUUGUACAAGUCUUUUUCCUUAUUAUCUCUUUGGGGUACAAACCCAGCAGUGCUAUGGCUGGAUCAAAGGGCAGACAGUCUUCUAUUGCCCUAUGGGCAUAGUUCCAAAUUGCCCUCCAGAAUGGUUGGAUCAAUUAACAACUCCACCAGCAAUAAAUUAGUGUCCCUACUUUACCGCA
This 1306-nucleotide long non-coding RNA is filed under the name Monodelphis domestica (gray short-tailed opossum). RNAcentral's name for it is "lncRNA (ENSMODG00000040128.1)". The record is from RNAcentral. Lineage: Eukaryota; Metazoa; Chordata; Mammalia; Didelphimorphia; Didelphidae.